This 253-nucleotide ribosomal RNA is filed under the name uncultured bacterium. Its description in RNAcentral is "partial 16S ribosomal RNA". It matches the Rfam family "Bacterial small subunit ribosomal RNA", at positions 524 to 776 of the family's 1533-position model. The record is from RNAcentral.
UACGAAGGGGGCUAGCGUUGCUCGGAAUUACUGGGCGCAAAGGGCGCGUAGGCGGCCGAUCAAGUCAGAUGUGAAAGUCCUGGGCUUAACCUGGGGACUGCAUUUGAUACUGAUUGGCUUGAAUUCGGGAGAGGAUAGCGGAAUUCCCAGUGUAGAGGUGAAAUUCGUAGAUAUUGGGAAGAACACCGGUGGCGAAGGCGGCUAUCUGGACCGACAUUGACGCUGAGGCGCGAAAGCGUGGGGAGCAAACAGG